RNAcentral lists this ribosomal RNA (103 nucleotides) under uncultured bacterium. Its description in RNAcentral is "partial 16S ribosomal RNA". It matches the Rfam family "Bacterial small subunit ribosomal RNA", at positions 1369 to 1482 of the family's 1533-position model. The record is from RNAcentral.
CGUUCCCGGGCCUUGUACACACCGCCCGUCACACCACGAAAGUCUACUGGACCAGAAGCCGAUAGGUCUUCUGUCGAACAAGGUCUGGUCGAUGAUUGGGGUG